RNAcentral lists this ribosomal RNA (503 nucleotides) under uncultured bacterium. RNAcentral describes it as "partial 16S ribosomal RNA". It matches the Rfam family "Bacterial small subunit ribosomal RNA", at positions 30 to 523 of the family's 1533-position model. The record is from RNAcentral.
AUUGAACGCUGGCGGCAGGCUUAACACAUGCAAGUCGAGCGGGGUGAUGGUGCUUGCACUAUCACUUAGCGGCGGACGGGUGAGUAAUGCUUAGGAAUCUGCCUAUUAGUGGGGGACGACAUCUCGAAAGGGAUGCUAAUACCGCAUACGUCCCACGGGAGAAAGCAGGGGAUCACUUGUGACCUUGCGCUAAUAGAUGAGCCUAAGUCGGAUUAGCUAGUUGGUGGGGUAAAGGCCUACCAAGGGGACGAUCUGUAGCGGGUCUGAGAGGAUGAUCCGCCACACUGGGACUGAGACACGGCCCAGACUCCUACGGGAGGCAGCAGUGGGGAAUAUUGGACAAUGGGGGGAACCCUGAUCCAGCCAUGCCGCGUGUGUGAAGAAGGCCUUAUGGUUGUAAAGCACUUUAAGCGAGGAGGAGGCUCUUUUGGUUAAUACCCAAGAUGAGUGGACGUUACUCGCAGAAUAAGCACCGGCUAACUCUGUGCCAGCCGCCGCAGUAA